Molecule: ribosomal RNA, 510 nt
Filed under: uncultured bacterium
Lineage: Bacteria
Description: partial 16S ribosomal RNA
Rfam family: Bacterial small subunit ribosomal RNA
Source: RNAcentral
GACGAACGCUGGCGGCGUGCUUAACACAUGCAAGUCGAACGAAGAGCGAUGGAAGCUUGCUUCUAUCAAUCUUAGUGGCGAACGGGUGAGUAACGCGUAAUCAACCUGCCCUUCAGAGGGGGACAACAGUUGGAAACGACUGCUAAUACCGCAUACGAUCUAAUCUCGGCAUCGAGGAUAGAUGAAAGGUGGCCUCUACAUGUAAGCCAUCACUGAAGGAGGGGAUUGCGUCUGAUUAGCUAGUUGGAGGGGUAACGGCCCACCAAGGCGAUGAUCAGUAGCCGGUCUGAGAGGAUGAACGGCCACAUUGGGACUGAGACACGGCCCAGACUCCUACGGGAGGCAGCAGUGGGGAAUCUUCCGCAAUGGACGAAAGUCUGACGGAGCAACGCCGCGUGAGUGAUGACGGCCUUCGGGUUGUAAAGCUCUGUUAAUCGGGACGAAAGGCCUUCUUGCGAACAGUUAGAAGGAUUGACGGUACCGGAAUAGAAAGCCACGGCUAACUACGUG